Molecule: ribosomal RNA, 608 nt
Filed under: uncultured archaeon
Lineage: Archaea
Description: bacterial SSU rRNA
Rfam family: Archaeal small subunit ribosomal RNA
Source: RNAcentral
AUUCGACUAAGCCAUGCGAGUCGAGAGGGUUCGGCCCUCGGCGAACUGCUCAGUAACACGUGGAUAAUUUGCCCUUAGGUGGGGGAUAACCUCGGGAAACUGAGAAUAAUACUCCAUAGAUCUAGGAUGCUGGAAUGCACUUAGAUUAAAAGCUCCGGCGCCUAAGGAUAAGUCUGCGGACUAUCAGGUUGUAGUCAGGGUAAAGACCUGACUAGCCUACAACGGAUACGGGUUGUGAGAGCAAUAACCCGGAGACGAUAUCUGAGACACGAUAUCGGGCCCUACGGGGCGCAGCAGGCGCGAAACCUUCGCACUGUGCGAAAGCGCGAUGAGGGGAUCCCAAGUGCUUGCUCGUAAGAGUAAGCUGUUUUUAUGUCUAAAAAGCAUAGAGAGUAAGGGCUGGGUAAGACGGGUGCCAGCCGCCGCGGUAAUACCUGCAGCUCAAGUGGUGAUCAUUAUUAUUGGGCCUAAAACGUCCGUAGCCGGUUUGGUAAAUGCCUGGGUAAAUCGUGUAGCUUAACUAUACGAAUUCCGGGUAGACUGCCAAACUUGAGACCGGGAGAGGCUAGAGGUACUCCUGGGGUAGAGGUGAAAUUCUGUAAUCCUAG